AUGGAUUGCACCUAUCUGAAUUGGAAUGUGAGGGGGAUUAAUAACCCUGCGAAGAGAAGGGCUAUUCAGAUUUUCGUUGCUGAUCUUAAAUGCAAUAUUGUCUGUUUGCAAGAGAUAAAGAUUUGUGACAUGUCACGCAACAUUGUGGCGGAGAUGCUUGGGCCGCGAUUUGCUGACAGUUUCAUUGCGCUUCCUGCAGAUGGAUCGAGAGGGGGAAUACUCAUUGCUUGCUCAGAGGAUUAUGAGAUUGAGGUGGAACCACUUGCGGCUGGGGAUUUCUCGAUCUCGGGGACAGUUAGGAGAAGGGCCGAUGGUUUUUGCUGGUCGAUCACCGGGGUGUAUGGGCCUCAGCAAGAUGAUGACAAAAUCCGGUUCAUUGAGGAAAUGAAGAGGACCAAACAGCACAUGCUGCCAAGAUGGAUGAUGAUGGGGGAUUUCAACCUGAUCGUGAGAGCCUCUGAUAAGAACAAAAAUAGCGUCAACCUGAGGAUAAUGGGCCGGUUCAGGGCAGCCAUUGAC
Molecule: ribosomal RNA, 519 nt
Filed under: Triticum aestivum (bread wheat)
Lineage: Eukaryota; Viridiplantae; Streptophyta; Magnoliopsida; Poales; Poaceae
Description: partial small subunit ribosomal RNA
Source: RNAcentral